This 427-nucleotide ribosomal RNA is filed under the name uncultured prokaryote. Its description in RNAcentral is "bacterial SSU rRNA". It matches the Rfam family "Bacterial small subunit ribosomal RNA", at positions 355 to 774 of the family's 1533-position model. The record is from RNAcentral.
UGGGGAAUAUUGGACAAUGGGCGCAAGCCUGAUCCAGCAAUGCCGCGUGGGUGAAGACGGCCUGCGGGUUGUAAAGCCCUUUAGGCGGGGAGGAACGGUCGGGUGCCAAUACCACCCGGCGCUGACGUUACCCGCAGAAUAAGCACCGGCUAACUCCGUGCCAGCAGCCGCGGUAAUACGGAGGGUGCGAGCGUUAAUCGGAAUUACUGGGCGUACAGCGUGCGUAGGCGGUAGCGUCAGUCAGCCGUGAAAGCCCCGGGCUUAACCGGGGAACGGCGGUUGAGACGGCGCAACUCGAGUGGGCUAGAGGAUAGUGGAAUUCCGGGUGUAGCGGUGAAAUGCGUAGAGAUCCGGAGGAACACCGAUGGCGAAGGCAGCGGUCUGGGGCCACACUGACGCUGAGGCACGACAGCGUGGGGAGCAAACA